UACGGAGGGUGCAAGCGUUGUUCGGAAUUACUGGGCGUAAAGAGUGCGUAGGCGGUUCGGCAAGUUGGAAGUGAAAUCCCGGGGCUCAACCUCGGAAUGGCUUUCAAAACUGCUGAUCUAGAGUAUGGUAGGGGAUAGUGGAAUUCCUAGUGUAGGGGUGAAAUCCGUAGAUAUUAGGAGGAACACCAGAGGCGAAGGCGACUAUCUGGGCCAUUACUGACGCUAAGGUACGAAAGCGUGGGGAGCAAACAGG
This 253-nucleotide ribosomal RNA is filed under the name uncultured bacterium. RNAcentral's name for it is "partial 16S ribosomal RNA". It matches the Rfam family "Bacterial small subunit ribosomal RNA", at positions 524 to 776 of the family's 1533-position model. The record is from RNAcentral.